CAUAGCGUAUAUUAAAGUUGUUGCGGUUAAAAAGCUCGUAGUUGGAUUUCUGUUGAGAGCGGCCGGUCCACCUUUUGGGUGAGUAUCUGGAUUGGUCUCGGCAUCCUCACAACGAAUGUUUCUGCGCUUGAUUGCGUGGUAUAGGCGUUGUGACUUUUACUUUGAGGAAAUUAGAGUGUUCACGGCAGGCAUACGCCUUGAAUAUAUUAGCAUGGAAUAAUACUAUAGGAUUUUGGUUCUAUUUUGUUGGUUUCUAGAGCUGAAAUAAUGAUUAAUAGGGACAAUUGGGGGCAUUCGUAUUGACGAGUCAGAGGUGAAAUUCUUGGAUUUCGUCACGACGAACUACUGCGAAAGCAUUUGCCAAGGAUGUUUUCAUUGAUCAAGAACGAAAGUAAGGGGAUCGAAGAUGAUUAGAUACCGUCGUAGUCUUUACCAUAAACUAUGCCAACUAGGGAUCCGCUCUCGUUCUACUAUGACUGAGUGGGCACCUUAUGAGAAAUCAAAGUCUUUGGGUUCCGGGGGGAGUAUGGUCGCAAGGCUGAAACUUAAA
Molecule: ribosomal RNA, 550 nt
Filed under: uncultured marine picoplankton
Lineage: Eukaryota
Description: SSU rRNA
Rfam family: Eukaryotic small subunit ribosomal RNA
Source: RNAcentral